RNAcentral lists this unclassified non-coding RNA (385 nucleotides) under Eurytemora carolleeae. Its description in RNAcentral is "uncharacterized LOC111717305". Lineage: Eukaryota; Metazoa; Arthropoda; Copepoda; Calanoida; Temoridae. The record is from RNAcentral.
UAUGUUAUCUUUAUAAAUACUUUUUUAGCUUUAUGAUGAUUUAGAUCUAGAUGUUUCUUUUCAGACUUUGUGAAAGUUUUUUUUUAAAGUUGAAUCUAUUUUUCAGAUAAAAUGGCAGAAACUACUAUGGAAGAAUUAAAUAUAGAAAAGUAUGAGAUAAAAGAAGAGAUAGUUUCCUUCAAGGAGGAAAUCCUUCCCUCUUCUACUUUAGAGGCUACAUUUACUGUUAAUCUACAUAAAGAUGAUAUAAAGAUAGAAAAUACAGGAAUACAAGAUGUACUGAAAACUGGAAUACAGGAAACAGUAGAAAAUAAACCUACAAUGAACAACAAUUUUCUCAUUGUAAAUUUGGUCAACUAACAUAAUAUAAAGAAUAGUUUCGUUU